RNAcentral lists this long non-coding RNA (303 nucleotides) under Elaeis guineensis (African oil palm). RNAcentral describes it as "long non-coding RNA (EGUI_LNC071916)". The record is from RNAcentral. Lineage: Eukaryota; Viridiplantae; Streptophyta; Magnoliopsida; Arecales; Arecaceae.
GAGUAAUCCUUUUUAUUGAAUAUGGAGCCAUCUCGCAUGAAUAACAGUCGACAAAUCUAACUAGUUUUGAAAUUUUUUUUCAAAAUCUAAUUUCAAAAUCAUAUUUUUAUCAAAAUCUAACCAUGAUUAUUUUAAGAAUAAAAAUCACAAAUUUUGAAAUCUUUACAAGAAUAAUCGAGCGAUAACAACUGAUAUCCCAAUUAGUUCAAUCUAAGGUAUCUAAUUGAUCAAUCACAAUUUUAGGAUCAUGUUAGGAUGUCAGGAUGCAAUCAAUGGUAAAAUUUAAUGAUGCUCAAUCCGAUG